RNAcentral lists this long non-coding RNA (209 nucleotides) under Nicotiana benthamiana. RNAcentral's name for it is "long non-coding RNA (NBEN_LNC000304)". The record is from RNAcentral. Lineage: Eukaryota; Viridiplantae; Streptophyta; Magnoliopsida; Solanales; Solanaceae.
UAUGUAUAUGAAUUUGUUUGUACUUAUUAUUUGUUCUUUUGGUUAAUAUUCGUAUUGGACAAGCCAGAAAAUAAAUUUCUGGUAAUAGAUAUGAUAUAUCGGCAUUUCAUUUAAUCUAAGAGAGAUGUAAACACUCGAUUUCUCAAGGGCGGUAGAUAAUUACAACCUCAGUGAAAUGCCAAUUUGAACAACUGAUGUUGGACUAAAUC